Paramormyrops kingsleyae is the source of this 1013-nucleotide non-coding RNA. The record is from RefSeq and is a predicted model, not a curated record. NCBI's taxonomy places the organism in Eukaryota, Metazoa, Chordata, Actinopteri, Osteoglossiformes, Mormyridae.
CAGGCUGUUCUGGCUGUGGAUACAGGAUUUCUGCAGAUCUUGACCAAAGACAGUCUGACGCUGAGGUGUGAGGUUGAGGGAAGCUCUGUUGGAUGGAGCUACACAUGGUACGCAGAUGGAUCUCAGCUUCCUGAAGACCAGGAUGGACAGACCUUCACUGUGAGAUCUGGGAAUGGCUCCUAUCACAGGGAAUAUAGAUGUAGAGGGAACAGAACUGAAGAACCAUUUUACUCCACAAUCAGCAACGGUUUGGUGCCCAGUAUCAUUAUUUCACAGGCUGUAGAGAAUGUGUCUCGGAUCGGUGUCGGAUCGGCUGUUAUGAUUCUCCUCUGUAUUAUUCUGAUGCUAGAAUUCUGUGGAAGACCAAGGUGUGGUACAGCCCCAAGGCACACGGCCGAUUGUACAUGACAAACCAAGAGAUCACUAAAUACUGCACAGAUAUCUAGUGACUAUAAUCAGCCACCAGCACGGAGAUAAGUGACAGAUUUUGGUAGUUUAAAAAGACAUGUUCAGCAUGUGUGACGCAUCGUACGGCUUUAUGAAUUUACCACAUUGUGUACAUUUUGAUGAUAGUCCUAGUUUAUUUUACAAUGUUAGAUCUGUCUUUUGAUAUUUUAUAAGAUUUCAGUAAAAUAUGAAAUGUGACUGAUCAUACAAGCGUUUUAUUUUGCAUGGUUUUAAUUACAUUUUGUCAUCUUUUAAACUGUGCACUCGCUUUAACAUGGAAUGAGAUUAAACCUUUUAAACUCAUAAUGAAAAUGAUCUAUUGUUACUGUCAUGACCUGCUCAUACGAUCCUUUCAUGUGCCAUGCCCCCCUCGUUACCUCGUGCAGCUGUGAAACCCCGAUUGUUACCAGCUGUUUCGUGUUAUUCCUGACUAGUCCUGUGUAUUUCAGUCCGCGUUCGAGUACGUUUCCCUAGGUCUGUCAUUGCAGUCUAUUCACGUCUGAUUGUGUCGUGCUGUCUGUUCCAUGUCACUGCUCCAGUUCCCCAUUAAAUCCCGUGUUACUCAA